GGCGGACGGGUGAGUAACACGUGGGCAACCUGCCCUUGAGACGGGGAUAACUCCGGGAAACCGGAGCUAAUACCGGAUAACACAUAUCUUCGCAUGAGGAUAUGUUAGAAGGUGGCUUUUAGCUACCACUCAAGGAUGGGCCCGCGGCGCAUUAGCUAGUUGGUGAGGUAACGGCUCACCAAGGCGACGAUGCGUAGCCGACCUGAGAGGGUGAUCGGCCACACUGGGACUGAGACACGGCCCAGACUCCUACGGGAGGCAGCAGUAGGGAAUCUUCCGCAAUGGACGAAAGUCUGACGGAGCAACGCCGCGUGAGUGAUGAAGGUUUUCGGAUCGUAAAGCUCUGUUGUUAGGGAAGAACAAGUACCUGUUAAAUAAGCAGGUACCUUGACGGUACCUAACCAGAAAGCCACGGCUAACUACGUGCCAGCAGCCGCGGUAAUACGUAGGUGGCAAGCGUUGUCCGGAAUUAUUGGGCGUAAAGCGCGCGCAGGCGGUUCCUUAAGUCUGAUGUGAAAGCCCACGGCUCAACCGUGGAGGGUCAUUGGAAACUGGGGAACUUGAGUGCAGAAGAGGAGAGCGGAAUUCCACGUGUAGCGGUGAAAUGCGUAGAGAUGUGGAGGAACACCAGUGGGCGAAGGCGGCUCUCUGGUCUGUAACUGACGCUGAGGCGCGAAAGCGUGGGGGAGCGAACAGGAUUAGAUACCCCUGGUAGUCCACGCCGUAAACGAUGAGUGCUAAGUGUUUAGAAGGGUUUCCGCCCCUUUAGUGCUGCAGCCAAACGCAUUUAAGCACUCCGCCCUGGGGGAGUACGGGUCGCCAGGACUGAAAACUCCAAGGGAAUUUGACGGGGGACCCGCCCCAAGCCGGUGGAACCAUGUUGG
This 884-nucleotide ribosomal RNA is filed under the name Priestia endophytica. RNAcentral's name for it is "bacterial SSU rRNA". It matches the Rfam family "Bacterial small subunit ribosomal RNA", at positions 97 to 945 of the family's 1533-position model. Lineage: Bacteria; Bacillati; Bacillota; Bacilli; Caryophanales; Bacillaceae. The record is from RNAcentral.